This 92-nucleotide non-coding RNA is filed under the name Paraburkholderia phenazinium. Lineage: Bacteria; Pseudomonadati; Pseudomonadota; Betaproteobacteria; Burkholderiales; Burkholderiaceae. The record is from RNAcentral.
UUCAAUGGGCGGGCCGUGGCGAGGGAGCCGCGAGGCUCGCCGGUUUGCUACUGUCCCGGUCUUCCAACCUCGUUACGUGCCCGCUCACCCAU